Molecule: ribosomal RNA, 1410 nt
Filed under: Triticum aestivum (bread wheat)
Lineage: Eukaryota; Viridiplantae; Streptophyta; Magnoliopsida; Poales; Poaceae
Description: partial small subunit ribosomal RNA
Source: RNAcentral
CGAGCCAGCCAGCGGCCCGCAGCAGUUCCCCACGCCCCCUCCCUCCUAAACCCGGGCAUGGGCAGCCCGGCCUCCCCAUGCCCCCACCUCAUCUCUUAGCGCCGCCGGAGGGAGCUCCUCCCCAUGCCCUCCACCUCAUCUCUUACCGCCGCCAGAGAGAGCUCCGCUGCUCUCUUGCCGGACGCCGCUCCGGUUUCCCCGAGGCGACGGAAAUCAUGAACGGGGACACACCAUACGGCCAGGGGCCUCUCGAUCGCUGCUUGGGUCAUUGGUGGCGGUAUUGGCGUUCAAGGAUGGGGCGGCGAUGCCGUUGGAGUCUUGGAAAAGCAGCUCGGGCAGAGGAAGAGGACGCGACCGGUGUCGGAGGAGCUGGGCAGGGGACGCCUGAUCUACUGCAGGUACGUGAACAGGGUUGCCGGUUGACACGCCGGCCUCCUCCAUCAGCCUCUCUUGGCCCCGCUCCAGCUCCGGCCUCCUCCAUCAGCCUCUCUUGGCCCCGCUCCAGCUCCGGCCCCUCGCUUGCCGCCUCCUGCGACGCUGGUGUUCAGCUCGCCUGCGAGGUGUUCUAUCAAUUGACCAAACCGAGCCAAGUCUGAGUCCAGUACUACACCAGAAGCGACGUCGGCCGAACAUGCGAAGAGGAAGAGGCCACAGAAGGAUUCUUGCGUCCCAAAUGUCAGUUUCAGGUUCACGGCCAGGAUGGUGGAUUCGUUCUUCGAUGGCCAGACUAUCCAUGUCAAGCGGCGGCAUGAGAAGAGCUCCGGCAAGGUCGUCAUGUGCCGGUGCAUCUCACCUUAAGCACAUGCUGCAGAGUCCGGCUGCUGUGGCUCCGUUCCCUCUCAGUUCUAUUUUUCUUUACUCUCCCUUGUUUACUGUUUGCCUUAAUCUUGAUUUGUUUUGUCGGUUCAUGCAGUUCAUUAGUUCUUUCUUUGCUGGAUGUUUGGCGCGCUGGCACUGAUGCCUGUUCUGGAUGGAUUCAAGUGAUGCUGGGACAUGUACAGAGAUGGAGCUCAUUAUAUAUGGAGACAGGUUUUGAAUUGGGGUGUGCUGUUUCCUACCUGAUGGUGUAGACAUUACAUGAGGGAUCUCCAUAUAAGUAGAAUGUCACACAUAUGAAUGUUGUAUCUUGGAUGCUUCAUAGAAAAGAAGCCAAGAGACCGAUUCAUCAGCUGUGUAUCAUUUUUACGUCCGACAUGUUAUCUCUUUCUCUAUAAGUUGGGCCUGCUCUUCAAAAAGGCUGAGAAUGUGACUAUAUAAGAAGCGUAGUUAAGUGUGUUCGGGGAGUAUACGUAAGAAAAAAAAUAGACCGCUAGGAGUAAAAACUCUCUUGCUGCCUACAAAGGUAGGCACACAUGCAGAAUGUACACAAAUUUGCAAAAACUAUAACAAAACAAACACAUACUGAACCAA